This is a long non-coding RNA of Hyposmocoma kahamanoa, 510 nucleotides long. RefSeq lists it as uncharacterized. The record is from RefSeq and is a predicted model, not a curated record. NCBI's taxonomy places the organism in Eukaryota, Metazoa, Arthropoda, Insecta, Lepidoptera, Cosmopterigidae. The transcript has 3 exons.
UUUAUUGUUUCAGAUAUUAUGGAUCUCAUUAGUCACAUACAUUUUCUACAAUUCCUUUAUUUAUUACAAAGAAGGACUACAGUUCUUUUAUUUAAGGAACAUUUUGGGGUUAGGUCUAUGUGUGUCUCGGGGCACGGCAGCAGUGUUAAAUAUAUGUGGCGCAUUAGUUUUACUUCCUCUUUGCAAGAAGAUGAAUCAACUACUCUACCGGGCGCUAUCUAAAUUAUGGCCCGGCUUGUUCUUUUUUUGGCUGGAAAGAGCUAAAAGUUUUCACAUAACUGUGGCUAUUACGCUACUUGUCUUCGCAGUCUCGCUCCGGACACACUCCACGAGGACGUCGUAUACCUCCUCCUCCUUGUUACAAAUAGAGCAGGUAGGAGAAACUUGAUAUGGCCCGAGCGAAGCUGGAAAGCUAUUAUCAUGUCUUUUCAGUUCGUGUCUGCUGCAUCAAUUCAAAGUCGGGGAGGAAAUUGCGGAGCCUUAGUGUAAUAAGGUUACAUCUGUAAAAUG